Molecule: ribosomal RNA, 496 nt
Filed under: uncultured bacterium
Lineage: Bacteria
Description: partial 16S ribosomal RNA
Rfam family: Bacterial small subunit ribosomal RNA
Source: RNAcentral
AUGAACGCUGGCGGCGUGCCUAAUACCUGCAAGUCGAGCGAACAGAUAAGGAGCUUGCUCCUUUGACGUUAGCGGCGGACGGGUGAGUAACACGUGGGUAACCUACCUAUAAGACUGGAAUAACUCCGGGAAACCGGGGCUAAUGCCGGAUAACAUUUAGAACCGCAUGGUUCUAAAGUGAAAGAUGGUUUUGCUAUCACUUAUAGAUGGACCCGCGCCGUAUUAGCUAGUUGGUAAGGUAACGGCUUACCAAGGCAACGAUACGUAGCCGACCUGAGAGGGUGAUCGGCCACACUGGAACUGAGACACGGUCCAGACUCCUACGGGAGGCAGCAGUAGGGAAUCUUCCGCAAUGGGCGAAAGCCUGACGGAGCAACGCCGCGUGAGUGAUGAAGGUCUUCGGAUCGUAAAACUCUGUUAUUAGGGAAGAACAAAUGUGUAAGUAACUGUGCACGUCUUGACGGUACCUAAUCAGAAAGCCACGGCUAACUACGUG